Long non-coding RNA from Fundulus heteroclitus (mummichog), 1781 nucleotides. RefSeq lists it as uncharacterized. The transcript is spliced from 3 exons. NCBI's taxonomy places the organism in Eukaryota, Metazoa, Chordata, Actinopteri, Cyprinodontiformes, Fundulidae. The record is from RefSeq and is a predicted model, not a curated record.
AGCAGAAACAAAGAGGAAAGUUCCUCAAGACAAAGUUCUGGUAGGAAACAAAGCAAACUUACAGUUUGUUCAGACGCUCCAAAGUGCUGAAGAACAAGAUGUGAACCACCGAGACACAGGUGAGCUGCUACCUGGAAGGAGGCGGAGCUUCAGCUGUGAUGGAGGCAGGACAGGUAGGUUAGUGGGAGGAGUUCAGAUCUGACUGCCUUCUGGUUCUCAGACUCAUCUCUGCUGUUCUGCUGAAGAACCUGGUGCUACCUAGAAAGCAGAUGUCCUGAAGGUUCCUCAUCAGUGAUGCAGAAAACUUCAUGUCUACAGAGUGUUGAUCAGUCAGAGAAAUGAUUGAAGUGAAACAGAUCUUACCAUCAUGAUGCUGACCAACAGCUCACCAAUCAUCCCUCCUGAUGGAGACCAGCACCAUCUAUCUCCACCUCUGAGAACCUGCUGAUGUCUCCUGAGCCUCCACAAUCAUUACAGCAUCUAAAUGACUUUAACAAACUGAAUUAUGUCUUCUUGACAGAAACACAUCAGAAGAGAAAAUCCACAACUUGCUGCCUGGAUUUGUUCCCUCUGAGUUUCUAAAAGCAGUUUUUAGCUGUGAUGCCCCUGAAAUAUUACAGAUAGUAAAUACUUCCCUCCAGUUAGUUUGUUUUCUAAAGGCUGAAAACUGCAGAGAUCAAACCUCUGUUAGAGAAACCAACUCUAGAUCCAUGGAUAAUAAGUCCCUACAGGAUCAGAACUAAUCCACUGGUUCUGGAAAAGAUCAUUGAAAAUGGUUCUGAUGAACAAAUGUAUGACUUUCUGAUGAAAUGAAUCUCUUCAGUGAUUUCUAGUCAGGCUUCAGACCACAGCACAGAGACUGCACUGCUAAACGUUUACAAUGAUGCUCAUCUGGACUGGAAUGGCUCCAGAACUCCUCUGUUGGUUCUACUGGAUCUCAGUUCUGCUGAACACAGUUCAUCACAACAUGUUGAUGAUCCAACUAGAACACUGGCUGGAUUAUCUGGUUCUGGGCUAAACUGGUUCACACCAUAUUUGGCAGACAUGGAUAACUUUGUGUCAUUUAGUAAAUAAAUAUAAAUCUGGACCAACAAAAAUUAAACGUGGGGUUCCUCAAGGAUCCAUUUUCAGCCACUAUUAUUUCUCCUCCAUCUGAUGCCAACAGGUCAGAUUCUAGAGUUCUCCAGCAUCUCCUAACAUCCAUGCUGACUACAUGUGACUUGUAAUCUCCAUGUUGCUGCUGAGCCUGGCUCACUGCACUCACUGAGUCAGUGUGUCCAUAAUAUCAAUGAGCGCAUCAGUCACAAUAUGCUACAGCUUCAUGCAGACAGAAAACAUCAUUUUUAGUCCAGAACUGUGAGGAUCUAGAUCAGUGGUCAGCUAGACUCUAUGAAACAUGAAGCUUUGACCACAUUUCUGUUAUUUUAGUCUCUCUGCACUGGCUGCCUGAACAUUUUAGGAUUCAUUUUAAAAUGCUUUUAUCUGCUUCUAAAGCUCUAAAUGGCCUUGCCACACAUUAGCUGUCUGAACUAGUACAUCCUGCACAUCCUCUGUUCCCUCAGGUCACUGAUCAGCUGAUCCUGAGUCAGCCAAAGAUGAAGCUUAAGCUCAGGGUGACUGAGCUUUAGCUGCAGCAGAUCUAGAAUUAUGAAACAACCUUCCCUUGGACAUCAGACAGUUCUCCUCCCUGUGUUUCACAUUCAUUUAUAAAACCAUCUAUUCUCAUUGACCUCUGACACCAUCAGAGACUUUAAAUCGUUCUGAUUAUCAUUAAUAACAUU